This 492-nucleotide ribosomal RNA is filed under the name uncultured bacterium. RNAcentral's name for it is "partial 16S ribosomal RNA". It matches the Rfam family "Bacterial small subunit ribosomal RNA", at positions 29 to 507 of the family's 1533-position model. The record is from RNAcentral.
AGUGAACGCUGGCGGUAGGCCUAACACAUGCAAGUCGAACGGCAGCACAGUAAGAGCUUGCUCUUACGGGUGGCGAGUGGCGGACGGGUGAGGAAUACAUCGGAAUCUACUUUUUCGUGGGGGAUAACGUAGGGAAACUUACGCUAAUACCGCAUACGACCUACGGGUGAAAGCAGGGGAUCUUCGGGCCUUGCGCGAUUGAAUGAGCCGAUGUCGGAUUAGCCAGUUGGCGGGGUAAAGGCCCACCAAGGCGACGAUCCGUAGCUGGUCUGAGAGGAUGAUCAGCCACACUGGAACUGAGACACGGUCCAGACUCCUACGGGAGGCAGCAGUGGGGAAUAUUGGACAAAGGGCGCAAGCCUGAUCCAGCCAUACCGCGUGGGUGAAGAAGGCCUUCGGGUUGUAAAGCCCUUUUGUUGGGAAAGAAAAGCAGCAGGUUAAUACCCCGCUGUUCUGGCGGUACCCAAAGAAUAAGCACCGGCUAACUUCGUG